Molecule: ribosomal RNA, 367 nt
Filed under: uncultured bacterium
Lineage: Bacteria
Description: bacterial SSU rRNA
Rfam family: Bacterial small subunit ribosomal RNA
Source: RNAcentral
GGAGGAUCCGAGCGUURUCCGGAUUUAUUGGGUUUAAAGGGUGCGUAGGCGGGAURGUAARUCAGUGGUGAAAGCCCGCAGCUCAACUGCGGAACUGCCAUUGAUACUGCUAACCUUGAGUAUGUAUGAUGUGGGCGGAAUGUGCAGUGUAGCGGUGAAAUGCUUARAUAUUGCACAGAACACCAAUUGCGAAGGCAGCUCACAAAAACAUAACUGACGCUGAGGCACGAAAGCGUGGGGAUCAAACAGGAUUAGAUACCCUGGUAGUCCACGCCGUAAACGUUGAAUACUCGAUGUGUGCGAUAUACAGUACGCGUCUAAGCGAAAGUGAUAAGUAUUCCACCUGGGGAGUACGCUCGCAAGAGUG